This 586-nucleotide long non-coding RNA is filed under the name Pan troglodytes (chimpanzee). Its description in RNAcentral is "lincRNA". The record is from RNAcentral. Lineage: Eukaryota; Metazoa; Chordata; Mammalia; Primates; Hominidae.
AUCCUGGGUUCAGCUUUCCCUGUGAGAAGGACACAUAUAACAAUAAGAAAUUAAGGGCUCGGGAAGGAGAGGGGCCACCCUGUGCUCACCCCCACACAGCCCUGCAGGAAAACCCAGUGAACGGUGCCCAGGUGCCUGGCUGACUCCUGGGCCGGGAGGGGACAUGGAGGGACAGUGGCCAUCAGGCUCUUUGUGGACACUGGGGAUUAACUACUGCUCGUUCUCAGCUCACUGGUGUCCAGCCCAUCAAUAACCUCAUCAAUAACCUAACUUUGGUCAAUUAGGUUGGAGUCCGGAGGUGACUGAUUUGCUGGCAAGGUUUUCUCUCUUCCUCUGUAAAGUGGAGUCCUUCAUCAUUCAUCGCAAGUAGACAACUGGCUUCCUAAUGCCUCUGCAUCAAGGAGCCAGGCGCUGCAGCUCUUCGGUGCGUGAUCUCAAAUAGAUUCAUGCGUUCUUCUGCUGACACGGUGGCAGAGAGGGAAGGGUCCCGCCAGGUGGGGGCCUGAGAGCCACCGGGCUGCGGUGCGCGAGUGUGGACACCGCCCCCGCCUUCUGCGUCUACAGCCCCGGGUUCCGGGACCUUUGG